This is a long non-coding RNA of Manis pentadactyla (Chinese pangolin), 7618 nucleotides long. RefSeq lists it as uncharacterized. The transcript has 2 exons. The record is from RefSeq and is a predicted model, not a curated record. NCBI's taxonomy places the organism in Eukaryota, Metazoa, Chordata, Mammalia, Pholidota, Manidae.
ACCUCUUUCAACCGGCAGGUCUAAAAGAUAGCUGCGCAGUGCUCCUGAAUGAACGGCUGUUUCUCGUCUGCUUGCGGCCCCCUCCAUGAAUAUUAUUCUUUUUGUUAAUUCCCAAAUAUUGUCUCUUUCUCUUAUAUCCCCUAAGGAAAAAUGAGCCCUAGCAAGGACAGUUAAUAAGUGGUUGAUUCCUACUCUAUUGUCUAUCAUAUUGCUGUGACCUGUAAGUGCCAUCACAGUAGACAAUUGCUCUUCAUGCCUUGAACAAAUCCUAGGGAGCGUUGGAGAUGAUCAUUUGGAAUAGUGGACCAGAAUAGUUUUAGAGGGUUGCUUUUGUCAAAUGUAUGGGACACAUUUAUUGUAUAAUCUGGAGUGUGUUCCUGCUAUUCAUUUCCCCUUGGUGAAUGGUGUUCAGUUGGAGUGCUUUACGAUCCAACUCAGCCACUCUUGAUUUGUGUUACUGGGACAAGUAACAACCACUGUUGGUGUCAUCUUUAUAUAGAGGUAGUUUCCUAGGUGACCUUGAUGAGUACUCAUAGGUCUAAUAUUUAAUGCAUAUAUCACAAUGCUAUUAAUGGUGGCAUUUAAUUCAUGUGCGUUUAAUAAGCAUUUAAUGCUUCUCCACAAACACAAACACAUUUAUCACCUCUCUCCUUGUAAAAACUACAAUCUAGUAGUAGUAUAGCUCAUGUGAGAAAAUCUAACCAAUCCAAGUGCUGCAUUUUACACGUGAAAAACUGAAUUUUUUUUUCAGUUCAAGGUCUCAUGAAGGAGUGAACUUCCAAGCGAACCUAGAAUCCAGUUAUGAAUGCUAGCCUGGUAUUCAUUCACAUUAUAAAAAAUUCUUUAACAGAAGUAAGGUAGCAAAGUAGGGCAGUGCUAGAGUUUUAAUGUCAGAUGGCUGUGUCAGCUCCAUGUUCUUGGACAGGUUUUUUCACUUCCCUAGACCUCAGUCUUCUCAUUUUUAUAAUGAGGGUAGGGGCAACAAUAAUCAUAUUAGCCACAUUUUGUUUCUUUUGAAACAGAGCAUGGAACUGGUAGCUUUAGAGGAGGGGCUGGGCUCACUGCGUCCUUCCCAUGUGGAACACAUCAGAAUCCACUCAGGAACCCCUCCGGUUGAGCCCUUCCAAAUGUGCCCCCUCCAGCCAUGCCGUGAGGGCCCUGACACCAGGUCACCCUGACUCACACACUCCAGCCUUCAGUAAGCUGGCCCGAACUACCAGGCACACACAGUCUACCCAGGGACCUUCCUUACCCAAGGCCGAUCCUUCAAGACUGGGAGACGUAGCUCUUUCUCCUAACUGAUAAAAUCAAGCACAGAAAGUCAAACAAAAUGAGGAGACAGAGAAAUAUACUUAAACAAAAGAACAUGACACAACUUAAGAAAAAGAACCAAAUGAAACAAGAGUUAAGCAAUCUAUCAGAUAAAGGUUCAAGUUAAUGAUUAUAAAGAAACUCACCAGACUUGAGAGAAGAGUGGAGGAACUCAGUGACAACCUCUACAGAGAGAGAGAAAAUCUAAAACAAACCAAUCAGAAAUGAAGAAUGCAACAAGCACAAUAAAAAAAUGACAAAUACAUGAGCGGGAAUCAGCAGCAGACUGGAGGGUCCCCAAGACCAGGUCGGCGCCUUGGAAGGCAGUGAUAGGAAGUACUCAAGCUGACCGGAAAAAGAAGGAAUAAAAGGAAAUGAAGAUAACUUAAGAGAGCUUUGGGACAAUAUCAAACAUCCAAACAUUUGCAUUAUAAGAGUCCCAGAAGAAGAGUAAAAGGAGUAGAAAACUUAUUGGAAGAAAUAAUAGCUGAAAACUUCCCUAAACCAGAGAAAGAAACAGACAUCCAGGUAUAGGAAGCAGAGAGAAUCCUAAUCAAGACAAACCCAGGUGGGCCCACACCAGGACACAUCAUGAUUGAAGUAUCAAAGAUCAGAAAAAAUGAGAAAAUCUUAAAAACAGCAAAAGAAAAGCAAUGGGUUACAUACAAGGGAAACCCCAUAAGACAAUUAGCUGAUUUCUCAGCAGAAACUCUAGGGAAGUGGCAUGAUAUAUUCAAAGUUCUGAAAGAGAAAAAAAAAAAACCUACAACCAAGAAUACUCCACCCAGCAAGGUUAUCAUUCAGGAUAAAAGGGGAGAUGAAGAGCUUCACAGAUAAAAAUAACUUUAAAGAGUUCAGCACCACUGCACUGUCCUUAUGAGAAAUGUUAAAGGGUCUUCUUUAAGAGGAAAACAAGACCCUAACUAGAAGCAAGAACAAUCUGAAAAUGAAAAUUUCACAGGUAAAAACAAAUGUGUGUCAGUGGUAGUAGAUCAGUCACUUAAAAGCUAGUAUAAAGGUCAAAAAGACAAAAGUAGUAUAAUCAAUUACAUUUAAAAGUUAGUUAAGGAAAUCACUAAAUAAAAAGGUAAAAAGGUAAAAGGAAAUCACUAAAUAAAAAGGUAAAAGAAGGAGGAGGGGGAGUAAAAAAUGUAUUGUUAUAAUGCAUUUGAACUUAAGUAACCAUCAACUUAUCAUUGGUUGCUAUGUGUGUAGGAUACCCUGUAAGAACCCCAUGGUAACCACAAGCCAGAAACCUAUAAUGGAUUCACAGAAAAUGGAGAAACAAAUUCAAAUGUAACACUAAAGAAAGUCACAAUACACAAGGGGAGAGCAAGAGAAAAAGAGAGGGUAAGAGAGGAACAAGAAAAACAACCAUGAAACAUUUGACAAAAUGGCAAUAACUACAUACCUAUCAAUAAGUACUCUAAAUAUAAAUGACUAAAUGCUCCAUUCAAAAGACAUAGGAUGACUGAAUGUAUUAAAAACAGGACCCAUCUAUUUGCUGCCAAAAGAGAUUCACUUUAGAUCUAAAGACUGAAACUGAAGGGAUGGAAAAAGAUAUUCCAUGAAAAUAGGAAUAAGAAAAAUGCUGCAGUAGCAAUACUUAUGUCAGACAAGAUAGACUUUAAAACAAGGGCUGUAACAAGAGACAAAGAAGCUACAUUACAUAGUGAUUAAGGGCACAAUCCAGCAAGAAGCCAUGACAUUUAUAACUAUCUAUGCACCCAACAGUGGAGCUCCUAAAUAUACAAAGCAAAUAUUGACAGACAUAAAAGGAGAGAUUGAUAGUAAAAUAAUAAUAGAAUAGGACUUUAAUGCCCCACUUAUAUAAACAGAUAGAUCAUCCAGACAGAAAACCAAUAAGGAAACGGUGGAUUUGAGUGACAUAUUAGAUGAAAUGGAACUGUAGUCAAAUAUAUUCAGAAUGAUACAUACAAAAGCAGUACAAUAUACAUCGUUUUCAAGAGCGCAUGGAACAUUCUCCAGCCUAGAUCAUAUUUUAGGCCACAAAGCCAGUCUCAAUAAAUUUAAGAAGAUUGAAGUCAUGUCAAGUAUCUUCUCCAACCACAGUGGUAUGACAGUGGAAAUCAAUUAUAAGAAAAAAAGUGGAAAACACACAAACACGUGAAGGCUAAACAGCAUGCUGCUAAAUAACCAAUGAGUCAUCAAAGAAAUCAAAGAAGAAAUUUUAAAAACUUGAAAAAUAAUGAAAAUAGAAAUAAAACAGUUCAAAAUCUUUGGGCUGCAGGAAAAACAGUCCUAAGAGGAAAGUUUAUAGCAAUACAGGCCUACCUCAAGAAGCAAGAAACAUCUCCAUCUAACCCAACACCUAAAGGAACUAGAUAAAGAAGAACAAGGCCCAAAGUUAGUAAAAGAAAGGAAAUAACAAAGGUCAGAGCAGAAAUAAAUUAGAGACUAAAACAACAACAACAAAAAUACAAAAGGUAAUUGAAACUAAGACCUGGUUCUUUGAAAUGAUAAACAAAAUUCAUAAAACUUUAGCUAGACUUAUCAAGGAAAAAAGAGAGAGGACUCAAAUAAAUAGAAUCAGAAAUGAAAGAGAAGUCACACCGACACGACAGAAAAACAAAAGAUUGUGAGAGUAUUAUGAAAAAUUAUAUGGCAACAAAUUGGACAACUUAGAAGAAAUGGAAGAAUUCCUAGAAACUUAACAAUCUUCCAAGAGUGAACCAGUAAGAAAUAGAAAAUUUGAACAGAUCAAUUACUAGGAAAGAAAUUGAAUCAGUAACCAAGAACUCCCCCAAAACAAAAUCCCAGGACCAGAUGGGAAACAUUUAAAGAAAAGUUGAUCACUAUCCUACUCAAACUAUUCCAAAGUUGAAGAAGAAGGAAAGCUUCCAAAUUCAAACCAUGAGGCCAGCACCACCAUGGUGCCAAAACCAAGCAAAGACACCAUAAAAAAAGAAAGCUACAGACCAGUGUCCCUGAGGAACAUCGGUGCAAAAACCCUCAGCAAAAUAUUAGCAAACCAAAUUAAAAAAAACGUUAAAGAGAUCAUUUACCAUGAUCAAGUAGGAUUUAUCCUAGGGACGCAAGGAUGGUUCAGCAUCCACAAAUCAAUCAAUGUGACACAGCACAUUAACAAAAAGCAGUAUCAAAAUCAUAUGAUCACCUUAAUAGGUACUAAGAAAGCAUGUGACAAAGUUCAACAUCCAUUCAUGGUAAAAACACUCAACAAAGUGAGUAUAGAGGGCACAUCACUCAACAUAAUAAAGGUCAUAUAUGACACACUCACAGCUAACAUUAUUCUCAAUGGUGAAAAGCUGGAAGCUUUUCCCCUAGAAUCAGGUGUAAGGCAAGGAUGUCCAGUCUUACCACUGUCACUCAGCGUAACUCCUAGAAGUCCUAGCCACUGCAAACAGACAAGAAAAAGGAAUAAAAGGCAUUCAGAUUGGUAAGGAAGAAGUUAAACUGUCACUAUUUGCAGAUGAUACUAUAUAUAGAAAACCCUAUAGAUUCCACCAAAAAACUAUUAGAAUUAAUAAAUGAGUUUUUUAAAGUUACAGGAUACAAAUUCAAUGUACAGGGUUCUGUUGCAUUUCUAUAUACAAAUAAUGAAUUUAAGAAAACAAUCCCAUUUAUAAUUGUUUCAAAAAGAAUAAAAUACCUAGGAACAAAUCUAACCAAGGAGGUGAAAGACCUGUACUCUCCAAAUUAUAAAACACUGAUGAAAGAAAUUGAAGGUAACACAAAUAAAUGGAAAGCUAUCCCAUGCUCAUGGAUAGGAAGAAUUAAUAUUGUUAAAAUGGCCAUACUGCCCAAAGCAAUCUUCAGAUUCCAUGCAAUUCCUAUCAAAAUACCAAUGGCAUUUUUCACUGAACUAGAGCAAGUAAUCCUAAAAUUCGCAUGAAACCACAAAAGUCCCUGAAUAGCCAAAAGCAAUCCUGAGAAAAAAGAACAAAACUAAAGGUACUAUGCUCCCUGAUUUCAAACUUCCCUACGAAGCUACAGUAAUCAAAACAGUAUGGCAUUGGCACAAGAACUGAUACACAGACCAAUGGGAUAGAAAUAAAUUCAUGCCUAUACGGCCUAUUAAUUUAUGAUAAAAGAGACAAGACCAUACAAUGGGGAAAAGUCUUUAAUAAGUGCUCUUGAGAAAACUGGACAGCUACAUGUAGAAGAAUGAAACUGGAUCAUUGUCUUACAUGAUCCACAAAAAUGAACUCAAAGUGGAUUAAGGGCCUAAAUAUAAGACCUGAAACCAUAAAAUUUCUAGAAGAAAAUGUAAGUAGUACACUCUUGAACAUCAACAUUAGACAUUUUUUUCUGGAAUGUCUCCUUAGAAAAAGAAAACAAAAACAAAAAUAAGUGGGACUACAUCAGACUAAAAAGCUUCUGCACAGCAAAGGAAACAAACAAAAUGAGAAGGCAACCUACUGUGUAGGAGAAUAUUGCAAAUGAUAAAUCUGACAAGGGGCUAAUAACCAAAAUAUAUAAAGAACUCAUGCAUCUCAUCACCAAAAAAAAAUAAGAAUCCAAUAUUUAAAAAUGUGCAGAGGACCUGAAUAGACAAUUUUCUAAAGACAUACAGAUGGCCAACAUGAAAUGAUGCUCCUCAUCACUAGUCAUCAGGGAAAUGCAAAUCAAAACCACAAUGAGUUAUCACCUUGCAGCAGUCAGAAUGGUUUCUAUCCAAAAGACAAGAAAUAACAAGUGUUGGUGAGUAUGUGUAUAAAAGAGAAUCCUUGUGUACUAUUUUUGGGAAUGUAAAUUGGUCCAGCCACUGUGGAAAGCUAUAUGGAAGUUCCUCAAAAAUCUAAAAGCAGAAAUACCAUAUGACCAAGCAAUUCCACUUCUAGGAACGUACCUGAAGAAAAUGAAAUAAUUAAUGUGAAAAGAUACACGCACCCCUAUGCUUAUUGCAACAUUAUUUCUAAUAGCCAAGAUAUGUAAGCAACCUAAGUGUCCAUCAGUAGAUGAAUGGAUAAAGAAGAUGUGGUACAUAUACACAAUGGAAUAUUAUUUAGCUUUAGCCUUAAAAUAUAAAGAAAUCUUGCCACUUCCAACAACAUGGAUGUACCUAGAGGGUAUUAUGCUAAAUGAAAUAAUUCAGUCAGAGAAAGAAGAAUACCAUGUGGUUUCUCUUAUAUGUGGAAUCUGAAAAACAAAAAUGAACAAAUUAAAAAAAACAGAAAUAGACUCGUGAACACAGAGAAUGGACAGUUGGUUACUGUAGGGGGAUGGCUGAAACAGGCGGAGGGGAUACAGCGGUGCAAACUUCAAACCAUAAAAUAAUUCAGUCAUAGGCAUGGAAGUACAGCAUAGGGAAAAAGCUCCUAAUAUUGUAAAAUUUUUAUGUGGUGACCACUGGUAACUACACUUAUCAUGGUGAGCAUUUAACAAUGUAUAUAAUUGAUAAAUAACUAAGUCAUUCAUCUGAAACCAAUAUAAUAUUGUAUAUAAGCUAUAUGCCAAUAAAAAAUGUUUUAAAAAGAAGAAUUUAGCAAUUCUUAAGAAACAGAAAGGAUUGCCAUAGAGGAAGGAAUGAGUGAAAUAGGUGAAGGGGAUAAAGAGGUACAAACUGCCGGUUAUAGAAUAAGUAAGUCCCGGGGAGAGUCAGUAUGGUCGUAACUUUGUGUGGUGACAGAUGGUAACUACACCUAUCAUGGUGAGCAUUUUAUAAUGCAUAUAAUUGUUGAAUCACUACGUUGUACACCUGAAACUAACAUAAUAUUUAUUGUAUGUCAACUGUAUUUCAAUAACAAAAGAGAAAGGAGGUCAUUAUGUCUCAAGAUUAUUGCAUGGGAAUUUCAGGAAAUGAGUUUGGAAAGUCAUAUAAGUCUUUUUAGGCCAAGAGGACUUUGAAUUUUAUUCUGUGUGUGAUGAGAGGCCACUGGCGGUUUCUGAGCAUAGCCACAACUACAACUGGAAUACCAGCAAUGUGAAUCAUUAAGGAUACCUUCCUUUCCAAUAGUACUGGAUUAAAAUUCCAUGACUUUAUAUUUCUUUGAAUCUUCAGGAUAUAUUUUACCACCACUUACCUAUUUCUUACAUGUGCAAAGGGAGCUCCCUAAAAAGAAUAUUUAUAGUUCAUAUAUACAUACACACAACACACACAUUCAUAUGUAUAUAUUCAUGUUACAUACAGUCAUACACAUCUUGUUUUGGUACCAAGUGAAACUUUGGAAGAGAAAUAUUUUGUAUACAAUUCGCAGUAUUUGGAUCUUGGGUCAACUGCGCCAGAAUCACCUGGACUCCUUGUUAAAAGUCAGAUCACUGAGUUCCAACCUAGAUGAUGCCAAUUAAACCGUCAGGAUGGUCGGUGAAUCUGAAUUUUAUAAAA